Callithrix jacchus (white-tufted-ear marmoset) is the source of this 105-nucleotide non-coding RNA. Lineage: Eukaryota; Metazoa; Chordata; Mammalia; Primates; Cebidae. The record is from Rfam.
AUGCUCACUUUGGCAGCACACAUACUAAAAUUGGAGUGAUACAGAGAUUAGCAUGGCCCCCUGCACAAAAAUUAUUUUUAAAAAUUAAAAUUUUAAAAAGUGAAG